RNAcentral lists this microRNA precursor (67 nucleotides) under Colobus angolensis palliatus. Its description in RNAcentral is "miRNA (ENSCANG00000009492.1)". Lineage: Eukaryota; Metazoa; Chordata; Mammalia; Primates; Cercopithecidae. The record is from RNAcentral.
ACAUCACUAUUGUAGAACCUAAGAUUGGCCUUUUCAGCUAUCUUUUCAGGUUUCUGCAUUUCUGAUG